This 482-nucleotide ribosomal RNA is filed under the name uncultured bacterium. Its description in RNAcentral is "partial 16S ribosomal RNA". It matches the Rfam family "Bacterial small subunit ribosomal RNA", at positions 30 to 505 of the family's 1533-position model. The record is from RNAcentral.
AUUGAACGCUGGCGGCAGGCCUAACACAUGCAAGUCGUGCGGAUGAAGGGAGCUUGCUCCUGGAUUCAGCGGCGGACGGGUGAGUAAUGCCUAGGAAUCUGCCUGGUAGUGGGGGAUAACGUCCGGAAACGGGCGCUAAUACCGCAUACGUCCUGAGGGAGAAAGUGGGGGAUCUUCGGACCUCACGCUAUCAGAUGAGCCUAGGUCGGAUUAGCUAGUUGGUGGGGUAAAGGCCUACCAAGGCGACGAUCCGUAACUGGUCUGAGAGGAUGAUCAGUCACACUGGAACUGAGACACGGUCCAGACUCCUACGGGAGGCAGCAGUGGGGAAUAUUGGACAAUGGGCGAAAGCCUGAUCCAGCCAUGCCGCGUGUGUGAAGAAGGUCUUCGGAUUGUAAAGCACUUUAAGUUGGGAGGAAGGGCAGUAAGUUAAUACCUUGCUGUUUUGACGUUACCAACAGAAUAAGCACCGGCUAACUUCG